RNAcentral lists this ribosomal RNA (463 nucleotides) under uncultured bacterium. RNAcentral's name for it is "partial 16S ribosomal RNA". It matches the Rfam family "Bacterial small subunit ribosomal RNA", at positions 28 to 507 of the family's 1533-position model. The record is from RNAcentral.
GACGAACGCUGGCGGCGUGCUUAACACAUGCAAGUCGAACGGAAAGGCCUUUUCGGAGGUACUCGAGUGGCGAACGGGUGAGUAACACGUUGGUGAUCUGCCCUGCACUCUGGGAUAAGCCUGGGAAACUGGGUCUAAUACCGGAUAGGACCGCACUUUAGUGUGUGUGGUGGAAAGUUUUUUCGGUGUAGGAUGAGCCCGCGGCCUAUCAGCUUGUUGGUGGGGUAAUGGCCUACCAAGGCGGCGACGGGUAGCCGGACUGAGAGGUUGGUCGGCCACAUUGGGACUGAGAUACGGCCCAGACUCCUACGGGAGGCAGCAGUGGGGAAUAUUGCACAAUGGGCGCAAGCCUGAUGCAGCGACGCCGCGUGGGGGAUGACGGCCUUCGGGUUGUAAACUCCUUUCGCCAGGGACGAAGCGUUUUGUGACGGUACCUGGAGAAGAAGCACCGGCUAACUACGUG